Molecule: ribosomal RNA, 510 nt
Filed under: Liriope tetraphylla
Lineage: Eukaryota; Metazoa; Cnidaria; Hydrozoa; Limnomedusae; Geryoniidae
Description: partial 16S ribosomal RNA
Rfam family: Bacterial large subunit ribosomal RNA
Source: RNAcentral
AAAAUUAAAGGUGCAACCUGCCCUAUGGUCUUGUUAAUUUUUUUAAUCGAGAAUAAAACUAAGACUAAAUGGCCGCGGUAACUCUGACCGUGAUAAUGUAGCGAAAUCAAUUGUCGUUUAAUUGACGACCAGUAUGAAUGGUUAAACGAAUUUUCCACUGUCUCCAUAAUAAACUUAAUGAAUUUAAAAUAAUAGUGAAGAUGCUAUUUAAUAAUUGUAAGACGAGAAGACCCUAUAGAGCUUAACUAUAAUCUUUAAUUCUAAAAUAAUCAAUGAUUUAUUAAAUUUAAAGAUUGGUAGUUUGGUUGGGGCGACCAUCUUCUAAAAGCAACGAAGAUAAGCAAUGAUUAUAUAAUAUCAAUAUUUAACUGUAUAAUUUAUAUCUUUAACAGGUAUUAAAAUAGGCUAAUUGACCCGUUUAUUUUUAAUAAGAAAAAUAACGAUUAAUAAAUAAAAGCUACCUUAGGGAUAACAGCGUAAUCUUAUUUAAGAGUUCUUAUCGACAAUAAG